CAUCAUUUCUGCCCCAGGAAGACUGUCUCCUACCUUUGGACCGUGGAUCGGAUAAAUGGUGCCCUGGCGUCACAAAGUGAUCAAGAGUGGUUUUUGCCUGUGCGUUGAGAGGUUAACCAAUGCACUACGUUAAUUCCCAACACAUGGCUUGAGAAAGAGAUACAGGCCAAAAGUCUGAAGAAUCAUGACUGACAAGAAUAGGAAUUGUUCAGACUGAAUGACAUGCUUUGGCUUCAAAAACUGCAUAACAACUUGAACAUGGGAAUACAACCUGACUCCUACUCCCAUCUCUACCUCAAAGAAGCUUGUUGCAUCCAAAAGUAAAUUAUUCUAUACUUCUUGCCAAGUGUUAUGUUCUUCUAACCUAUAUUUGUUGACUGUUUUGUCAAGUGAUUUGGAGCAUCUUCAAUGUAAUUGGCAGCUGUCAAUCCACCAC
Molecule: long non-coding RNA, 436 nt
Organism: Hyla sarda
Lineage: Eukaryota; Metazoa; Chordata; Amphibia; Anura; Hylidae
Exons: 3
Source: RefSeq, a predicted model, not a curated record